CUAAGCCAAUGUGGCUGCUAAAGCUGAAACAAUACAGGCACGCCUCUGGAAGGGAGGAAGGAAGGAGAGAAGGCAAGACGUUGCCUCAGUCUGCCACAUGCCUCUGAAGACAUGCAGUGUCCGGGGUGUAAUUUCCCCCUGUCUCCAGCUGUGGUCAGUGACGUGUGCUUAAUCGUGCAGCACUUCCUCUCUCUGCCCCUCGUGACCACCCAACUUGAGUCAGAUAGAUGGAGAGGGAAGGACAGAGUGACCAAGCAUCAAGUUACUCUCCUGGACGGUCCAGUAUAGAGCACUGAGCACCCGCUGGGCCACGGUGGCAUGUUAAUCUCCCCCUUCAUGAUGCUCCUCACCACUGUGCAGCUCCUACCCUGCCAGAUGGUCCAUCAGGAAGUGAACCCAGUGGUAGCCCCUGCUCCAUCCCUCUCGGUGCUGCAGGCAAAGGAGGAGUAUUUCCUUGGAGAUGCUGUUACGCUGGUGUGCACCACUCCCCCCACCAUCACCGGGAAGCGUUUGUACCAACUUUUUGGUGAGGCCGGCUGGGCACUAUCAGAGUUUAGCUGCAGGAACAACUACACCCACAAGUUCAUCCUCUCCCAAAUGCAGCAUAGGGGGCCACAUUUCUGCAGCUACAGCCUGCAGAAAGCCCAGAGGUCAUUCAGAUCCCCACCCAGUGAAAAACUGAUGAUCAAGAUUGAGGAACCUCUUCCCCAACCACUGCUGAUGGUGGAGUCACCACUGGGAGAGGUUAUGAGAGGAGAUCUCCUAAGAAUCAUCUGCAAGGCCCCUGGAAAUGCCACUGAGCGGAGGUUUCACUUCUACAGGGAUGGGGGAGAGUUCCCCCCCAGGAAGGCAGGUUCUGAGAACAACACAUCUGAGAGAGAGGACAUUUUGAAGAAUGCCAUGGUCCUCCACUUUCUGCAUUCUGGCCCCCAACACAGUGGAAACUUUACCUGCAAGUAUGAGGAAAAGAUACAUGGGAGGUGGAUCCCCUCCCUCACAAGCCAAGCCAUGAAUGUCAAUAUUAAUAGCAACAAGAGAGACUCCCCAUUACAGUCUGGAGACAGACUCACCAGGACCUCCCAAACAGCCUGUAGAUCCCUGUCCACCCUGCAACCCCAGUCCAGCACUCAGCAUCAUGAGUAUGAGCAGGAUGAGUGAAAGAAGACAUGUUGGGCAUUUCCAGCCCCUCAAGACCAAUCCCCAUGUAUGACACAUCCAGAAAGGUUGAUAUAUCAGACCCAGGCUGUAGGAUAAAGCAAGAACUGUUUCCUGGGAGAAAAGAAGUGGGAGAGAGAGUAGAAAAGGGUUAUCAUUUUACAUGGGAAAGGGGGGGGGAGUAGGGAGACAAAGGUGGUAAGAGGUGUGAGAGAGAAACAGGAAAUCAGUGAAAGAAAGAGAAGAGGAGAGAGUGAGAAAUGAAAAAUAAAGAAAAUGAGAGAAAAAAGUGAGUGAAAAAG
Molecule: long non-coding RNA, 1457 nt
Filed under: Apteryx owenii (little spotted kiwi)
Lineage: Eukaryota; Metazoa; Chordata; Aves; Apterygiformes; Apterygidae
Description: lncRNA (ENSAOWG00000001957.1)
Source: RNAcentral